This 1952-nucleotide long non-coding RNA is filed under the name Homo sapiens (human). RNAcentral describes it as "HSALNT0259929". Lineage: Eukaryota; Metazoa; Chordata; Mammalia; Primates; Hominidae. The record is from RNAcentral.
CAGGCUGGCCCAGGAGGUGCUGGGCUGCCAGGCCAAGCUGCUCUCUGGUGGCCUGGGCGGUCCCAACAGAGACCUCGUCCUGCAGCACCUGGUCACUGGACAUCCCCUGCUCAUCCCCUACGACGAGGACUUCAACCAUGAGCCGUGUCAGAGGAAGGGCCACAAGGCACACUGGGCGGGGUCCUGCUGGGUGUUCGGGCUGUGCCCAGUCUCGGCUACACUGAGGACCCUGAGCUGCCGGGCCUGUUCCACCCAGUGCUGGGCACGCCCUGCCAACCACCAUCCCUGCCAGAGGAGGGCUCCCCGGGAGCUGUCUACCUGCUGUCCAAGCAGGGCAAGAGUUGGCACUAUCAGCUGUGGGACUACGACCAGGUCCGGGAGAGCAACCUGCAGCUGACGGACUUCUCGCCCUCACGGGCCACUGACGGCCGGGUGUACGUGGUGCCCGUGGGUGGGGUACGGGCUGGCCUCUGUGGCCAGGCCCUGCUCCUCACACCACAGGACUGCAGCCAUUAGCUGCGGCUGCGGUCUCAGGCUGCAGCCUAGCUCGGUAACCAUUUGAAGUGUGCCUACACUUCUCCCACUGUGUGAUGGCGACAAGAUUGAAGCUAGGUCUCAGGGGUCUCCAGUCCUCCUUCAUCAGGGCCACCCCCUGCAGUAUUGAGCACCAGCUGGUCCCUCUAGGGAGAGAUUGACAACAGCCCGGACCCUGCGGCCUGCCUAUUCCAUCUGAAUGUCGCAUCGUCUGUUUCUCACUAGGGGCCGCCUCUGUCAUCUCACUAGACAUUUGAGGAACCUCCUGCCUGGGCCCUCUGCUUCUCACAGGACAGGGACACUGAACUGCGUCAGCCUCAGCUCACCCCUCCUUAGCCCAAGGUCUUCCUCAUGCUUGCCACCUACUAGUCAUACUGGCCUUUUAGAUCCCUGAAGUGUUGUUCAAAUCCCCGGAUCAUUGAGUCCCACCCCCAGCCCUCUGCUGCGGAUCACUCCUUAACUUUUCCAUUGGGGCUCAGGUAUCACUACCUCAGGGAAGAGUCCUGCAGCCCCAGUCAAGACACCCCUCCCCCACCUCAUGUCUUCACAGUUUUAAAGCCCAUCUGGGAGCAGUUACCUGUGCCAGCCCCUCUACCUGUGUUAGCAGAUCUGGCAACCCUGUAAGGGGGGUGCUAGAUGGACCCGAUUUGACAGAUGGCAAGACUGAGGCCUGGAGAAGUGGAAUCACUGGCCUGAGGUCACAUGACUAGCACAUGGCAAGGUCAGGAUUCAAGCUAGGUAGUCAGUAUCUCAGCCAGGCUGUCUCCUGGCUCCCUGAACAUUAUGGUGCUGACCACAAACUUUCCUGUCCACUUAUACAAACUUCUAGUGAGUGUGUGUGAUUACUAGCUUCAUGAAUACCUGACCCCUCCACUCUGAAGGAGGAACAGGCCUGUCUGGAUCACUUCUCUGUCCCUAACUGAGCCCAUCUCAUUUAGGGAAACUACAGAGCACUGUUGCUUUUUUUUUUUUUAGAUGGAGUCUCGUUCUGUCGUCCAGGCUGGAGUGCGGUGGCGUGAUCUCAGCUCACUCCAGCCUCCACUUCCCAGGUUCAAGUGAUUCUCCUGCCUCAGCCCCCCAAGUAACUGGGAUUACAGGCAUGCACCACCAUGCCUGGCUAAUUUUUUGUAUUUUUAGUAGAGACGGGGCUUUGCCAUGUUGGCCAGGCUGGUCUCGAACUCCUGACCUUGAGUAAUCCACCCGCCUCGGCCUCCCAAAGUGCUGGGAUUACAGGUGUGAGCCACUGAGCCCGGCCACAGUGCAGUAUUUCUAACCAGUGAUCAGGGUAAAGAGGAUGCGUGUCCACCAUCCCAGCCCUGAUCAGCCUGUCUGUGCAUCCCCCAUCCCAGCCAGGGCUUGGAGCAGCCUUGCUCACCACUGUGUCCCCUGCAUUGUAACACAUCCAGGCACAAGAAUAG